This 519-nucleotide ribosomal RNA is filed under the name Triticum aestivum (bread wheat). Its description in RNAcentral is "partial small subunit ribosomal RNA". The record is from RNAcentral. Lineage: Eukaryota; Viridiplantae; Streptophyta; Magnoliopsida; Poales; Poaceae.
AUGCCUGGGAGGUCGACCAUGGAAGCCAUUUUCUUGGUACGACAACUUAUGGAGAGAUAUAGGGAGCAAAAGAAGGACUUGCAUAUGGUGUUCAUUGACUUGGAGAAGGCCUAUGAUAAGAUACCGCGAAAUGUCAUGUGGUGGGCCUUGGAGAAACACAAAGUCCCAGCAAAGUACAUUACCCUCAUCGAGGACAUGUAUGAUAAUGUUGUGACAAGUGUUCGAACAAGUGAUGUCGACACUGAUGACUUCCCGAUUAAGAUAGGACUGCAUCAGGGGUCAGCUUUGAGCCCUUAUCUUUUUGCAUUGGUGAUGGAUGAGGUCACAAGGGAUAUACAAGGAGAUAUCCCAUGGUGUAUGCUCUUUGCGGAUGAUGUGGUGCUAGUUGACGAUAGUCGGACAGGGGUAAAUAGGAAGUUAGAGUUAUGGAGACAAACCUUGGAACCGAAAGGGUUUAGGCUUAGUAGAACUAAAACCGAGUACAUGAUGUGCGGUUUCAGUACUACUAGGUGUGAGGAG